Long non-coding RNA from Chiroxiphia lanceolata (lance-tailed manakin), 1721 nucleotides. RefSeq lists it as uncharacterized. NCBI's taxonomy places the organism in Eukaryota, Metazoa, Chordata, Aves, Passeriformes, Pipridae. The record is from RefSeq and is a predicted model, not a curated record. The transcript has 2 exons.
CAAGUAACUGAGAAGGGAGACUAUUACAGAGACAUUUCUGUCAAGACAGUAUUUGCCUUCCCCUUUGUAGGACGCUGAGUUUUGAUUCAGCAGGAACACCAUGUUCCCAGAUCUUUUCCUUCUUAAUCAUCAGUCUAAACUAAACACAUGGCUAGAGCACUGGGAUCCCUACAGACUCCGUAUGUGCUGGGAUUCCAAGGAGAAAUCUGGCAUAAAUGAGGAGAACAGGGCAUGAGCGCAUGUGUUGGUCCUGUGAAGAUCAUACCCAACCUUAAGCCAAGAAGGUUAGACUAGUUUUAGGGUACAGCUAAGCUGAGGAGUGAGGGAUGAAACACAGAGCUUCUUGAAAAUGCUCACUUGCUGGUUAUGGAGAAGGAAGGCAACUGAAAGAAAGGAAGAUAAGCUCCCAUCUAUUCCUUAUACUUGGAAGGUGGGGCACAGAAGAGCAAACUGAAGAACAACUGCUUUGAUCAGGGAAAGAAAACACACAUGGAAGCCCAAGCCUCACACGACAUCUGCCCUCAUCUCCAGCUGGGCAAACUCCCCUUUGUGUUACAAGAAGAGCCAGUUACAAAGUGUCUUCAAAGUUGAGCAAGAACUGACAAAACACACUGAAAGAAUAUGGGCGGAGAUGGCUGAUGACUGACUGUUUCUCUCUGUGGCAUUUAUUUAAACAGAGGACAAAUAUAAUUUUUGCAGAAGCAAUGCAGAUACUGAUCUCACAGCUCCAGCAAUAUGACCCAGCAUCGUGCUGACCUUGAAGGAGAAAGAUAUGUCCUGAAGAAUUUUGGUCAAAGGAGUUUAUGGUUACGAAUUGCAUUUCAGCAAAACCAUUAUUCAUUACAAUUUCUUGUUUUUAACUAAAUCUGCACAAAUAAUAUUUUAAAAAAAUCCACUUCCAAAGCUGCCAUUAAACUCCUGAGAAUUCUGCUUUUCCAUGAUUUCAACUGAAGUCUGCUCAUACUGCUAGAGAGGAACAGUUACUGAAUUUCCAUGCUGAGUUUGCUGCUGCCAACAUGUUUGGUCAUGUAAACAAGUUCACUGAAAAGUCACUCAUGCUAAAAAGAAAAACAGAUUCACAACGAGGGAUCUGCAGGCCAAAAAUGCAGGGUUUGGUCAGAUGGUCUAAAAAAUAGUAAAAAAUGAAAAAUCCUCUCAGAGAGUCAUUCACUGGAGAUAUGCACUGUUCCUCUUUCUUCCGUCUAUAUAGAUAUUCCAGGAGAAUCAUCUGACCACCUGAGAGAGUGACAGCUCCAUCCUCACAAGAGGAGGUUGCAAUGACACUCUUGCUUUUCUUUUUAAUUUCUGCUGAUUAACUCUAUGAUGCUUAUGUGAAGCAAGUCAGUAAUACCAAAGAAUGGGUUUAGAGAGAUUUAGUUAUUGUCCCUUCUGAGAUUCCCAGUUUCCAGGCUGUACCUAUCUUGUUUUAGACUGUGAAGGAUGUGCAGCAGGGAAUAUCUGUAUUGAGACUUUCCUGAAGCAUAACUUUCUUUUACUAAAGAAACACUGAAAGAACACAGUUCACAUUAGGCCUUUUCCCAAAUUCAAAGGAUCCCAACUUUUUUUGUGUAUAAACCAAGAGGAAGGUUUUGGGGGGGGGAAGGGACGGGACAGGAUAUUGUUUAAGAUGUGCAGAAUCUAAGCUUUCAUUUUAAAAAAUAAGGAGUUUGUAUAUGUAUGUGUCUGCUUCUUAGGAACCUCUUCCCUGUGUCCUGUUAGAG